AUACGGAGGAUCCGAGCGUUAUCCGGAUUUAUUGGGUUUAAAGGGUGCGCAGGCGGGAGAUUAAGUCGGCGGUGAAAUUUUUUAAGUCAACUGUCAAAGUGGCUUCGAAACUGGGUUCCUUGAGUGUAGUUGAAUGAGGGGGCAUUUGUGGUGUUACGGGGAAAUGCAUAGAUAUCACGAGCAACUCCGCUUGUGCAAGCAGCUUACUGAACUGCUAAUUACGCUCACGCACGAACGCGUAUGUAUCAAACAGGAUUAGAUACACUGGUCGUCCACGCAAUAAACGAUGAAUACUAGCUGUUUGCAAUACACUGUAAGCGGCUGAGGGAAAGCGAUAAGUAAUCCCCCUUGGGAGUACGUUCUCAAGAAGGAAACUCAAACAAAUUAACGGAC
RNAcentral lists this ribosomal RNA (393 nucleotides) under uncultured bacterium. RNAcentral describes it as "partial 16S ribosomal RNA". It matches the Rfam family "Bacterial small subunit ribosomal RNA", at positions 523 to 918 of the family's 1533-position model. The record is from RNAcentral.